RNAcentral lists this ribosomal RNA (785 nucleotides) under uncultured archaeon. RNAcentral describes it as "bacterial SSU rRNA". It matches the Rfam family "Archaeal small subunit ribosomal RNA", at positions 102 to 903 of the family's 1478-position model. The record is from RNAcentral.
AGACAAUCUGCCCUUACGCUCAUUUUAAUCCUGGGAAACUGGGGCCGAGAAAUGGAUAGAUAAGAUAUGCUGGAAUGCUUUUUUAUUGAAGUAAGGAUGAGUCUGCGUCCUAUCAGGUUGUAGUGUGUGUAAUAGACUCACUAGCCUAUAACGGGUACGGGCCUUGAGAGAGGAAGCCCGGAGAUGGAUUCUGAGACAAAAAUCCACGCCCUACGGGGUGCAGCAAGCGCGAAACGUCCUCAAUGCACGCAAGCGUGAAGACGGGAUUCGAAGUGCUUCCAUUUGGAAGCUUUUGUUUAGUCUAGACAGCUUUUCGAAUAAGGGGUGGGUAAGACGGGUGCCAGCCGCCGCGGUAAUACCCGCGCCCCAAGUGGUAACCCCGUUUAUUGGGCUUAAAGCAUUCGUAGCCGGUUUGGUAAGUUCCUAGUGAAAUUCCAUGGACAACCAUGGAGCGUGCUCGGAAUACUACUAGACUUGAGACCGGGAGAGGUCAAGGGUACUGUAGGGGUAAGGGUAAAAUCUUAUAAUCCCUAUGGGACCACCUGUGGCGAAGGCGCUUGACUAGAACGGAUCUGACGGUGAGGGAUGAAAGCUAGGGGAGAGACCCGGAUUAGAUACCCGGUUAUUCCUAGCCGUAAACGAUGCCCACUAGUCGUAGGAAAUCUCACGGGGGUUUUCUAUGUCGGAGAGAAAUCAUUAAGUGGGCCGCCUGGGGAGUACGUUCGCAAGGAUGAAACUUAAAGGAAUUGGCGGGGGAGCACCACAAGGGGUGAAGCCUGCGGUUC